This is an RNA transcript of Rhodamnia argentea, 1257 nucleotides long. It is a transcript of the gene named rhodanese-like domain-containing protein 4A, chloroplastic, with no coding region annotated. NCBI's taxonomy places the organism in Eukaryota, Viridiplantae, Streptophyta, Magnoliopsida, Myrtales, Myrtaceae. The transcript has 4 exons. The record is from RefSeq and is a predicted model, not a curated record.
AUACUCACGCCACGUCACUUCACCGUUCACAGUCAUCCAUGGAGUCUCUCUCCAUCAUCUUCUCAUCUUCCUCUCUUCCGUUCCUAAACCACCCCAAAACGCUCAAGCCCACGUCCUCCAAACUCGCCCCUCUCCCUCUCCCCUCCAUUUCAACCCCGAGAAGUCCCCACUUGUUUCUUCUCAGAAGCCAUUCCAUGCCUCAGCGCUUGACCAAAGCCCCUCUCUGUUUCCCCCUGUUCUACCUCUUCGAUUCGCUCCCUUGCUUAGCCUCCGAGGACGUCGUCUCUCCUACCGCCGAUCAGGUCUCGGGCAGGAUCGACCUGGAGUCGAUUUUGGUCUCCAUUGAUGACUUCUUCAACAGGAACCCGUUCUUCGUUGCUGGGUGUGCCUUCAUUUGGCUCGUUGUGAUUCCUGUGGCGGAGUAUUACUUGAGGAAGUACAAGUACGUCUCUGCGAUCGACGCGUUCAGGAAAUUGAGGGACGACCCGAAUGCGCAGCUCCUGGAUAUCAGGGACAGGAAGAGCUUGGCGGCCAUGGCGUCUCCUGAUUUGAAGUACAUGAGCAAGACUGUGGUUCAGGUUCAGUUCGACGAGGGACGUGAGGAUGAGUUUUUGAAGGCUGUUGUGGCGAGCUUCAAGGACCCUGCAAAUACUGUCCUCUGUAUUCUGGACAAUUUCGAUGGCAAUUCGAUGAAAGUUGCAGAACUAUUGUUCAAGAAUGGCUUCAAGGAGGCGUAUGCAAUCAAAGGAGGGGUUAGAGGCGAGAAAGGGUGGUUGGCCAUACAAGAAUCCCUUUUGCCACCUUCUGUACAUAUGUCUUCCAAGAAGUCCAGACAAGAGGUUGGAAUGAAUGGUGCAGUUAGCCAGAAAAAUGGCAAUAAAGCUGAAGGUUCAUCUUCUCCAAGCGUUCCUCAGGGAGAGAACCAAGUUCUAGACCAUGGACAUCAGAAUGAGAUAACAGUGCCUACACCACCGGAGAGAACUGCUUCUAGAUCAUCCUCACCAUAUCCAAAUGUAUGAUCUCUUGCCCUCACACACAGAGUCCUGUCUAUGUGGAGCAAAAGGAAAAUUUCCCCCGAAUUUCCCGAAAAAAUUUGAACUUUUAUUAAGAAGCAUUCAUGCCAAAGAAAUCUUUUAAGUGCACUCCUUGUUCAAGAAGUAAUGUCUGUAGCCAAUACAUCAAAUGUCUACAACAAGUUUGCAUGGAAUUAUAAAUUGUACAGCGACCUAGGUGACUGAUGUUUCUGGUUUUUUGUUU